Molecule: ribosomal RNA, 1456 nt
Filed under: uncultured Bordetella sp.
Lineage: Bacteria; Pseudomonadati; Pseudomonadota; Betaproteobacteria; Burkholderiales; Alcaligenaceae
Description: partial 16S-23S ribosomal RNA intergenic spacer
Rfam family: Bacterial small subunit ribosomal RNA
Source: RNAcentral
GGUUUGAUUCUGGCUCAGAUUGAACGCUGGCGGGAUGCUUUACACAUGCAAGUCGAACGGCAGCACGGACUUCGGUCUGGUGGCGAGUGGCGAACGGGUGAGUACGUCGAACGUGCCUAGUAGCGGGGGAUAACUACGCGAAAGCGUAGCUACCACUGCGGCCACAGCCCUUCGGGGAAAAGCGACCUUCGUGGGCCUCGCACUAUUAGAGCGGCCGAUAUCGGAUUAGCUAGUUGGUGGGCAACGUCACCGGGCGACGAUCCGUAGCUGGUUUGAGAGGACGACCAGCCACACUGGGACCGGAGACACGGCCCAGACUCCACGGGAGGCAGCAGUGGGAAUUUUGGACAAUGGGGGAAAUCUGAUCCAGCCAUCCCGCGUGUGCGAUGAAGGCCUUCGCUAAAAAAGCACUUUUGGCAGGAAAGAAACGGCACGGAUAAUACCCCGUGCAACUGACGGUACUUCCGCAGAAUAAGCACCGGCUAACUACGUGCCAGCAGCCGCGGUAAUACGUAGGGUGCAAGCGUUAACGGAAUUACUGGGCGUAAAGCGUGCGCAGGCGGUUCGAAAGAAAGAUGUGAAAUCCCAGAGCUUAACUUUGGAACUGCAUUUUUAACUACCGAGCUAGAGUGUGUCAGAGGGAGGGAAUUCCGGCAGUGAAAUGCGUGGAUAUGCGGAGGAACACCGAUGGCGAAGGCAGCCUCCUGGGAUAACACUGACGCUCAUGCACGAAAGUGGGAGCAAACAGGAUUAGAUACCCUGGUAGUCCACGCCCUAAAACGAUGUCAACUAGCUGUUGGGCCUUCGGGCCUUGUAGCGCAGCUAACGCAGGAAGUUGACCGCCUGGGGAGUACGGUCGCAAGAUUAAAACUCAAAGGAAUUGACGGGGACGGCACAAGCGGUGGAUGAUGUGAUUAAUUCUGAUGCAACGCGAAAAACUCACUCUACCUCUUUACAUGUCUGGAAUCGAAGAGAUUUGGGAGUGCUCGCAAGAGAACCGAACAGGUGCUGCAUGGCUGUCGUCAGCUCGUGUCGUGAGAUGUUGGGUUAAGUCCCGCAACGAGCGCAACCCUUGUCACUAGUUGCUACGAAAGGGCACUCUAACAGACUGGCCGGUGACAAAACCGGAGGAAGGUGGGGAUGACGUCAAGUCCUCAUGGCCCUUAUGGGUAGGGCUUCACACGUCAUACAAUGGUCGGGACAGAGGUCGCCAACCCGCGAGGGGGAGCCAAUCCCAGAAACCUGAUCGUAGUCCGAUCGCAGUCUGCAACUCGACUGCGUGAAGUCGGAAUCGCUAGUAAUCGCGGAUCAGCAUGUCGCGGUGAAUACGUUCCCGGGUCUUGUACACACCGCCCGUCACACCAUGGGAGUGGGUUUUACCAGAAGUAGUUAGCCUAACCGUAAGGAAGGGCGAUGACCAUUGCAGGAUUCAUGACUGGGUAAGCCAACAAGGUAA